Raphanus sativus (radish) is the source of this 1147-nucleotide long non-coding RNA. RefSeq lists it as uncharacterized. NCBI's taxonomy places the organism in Eukaryota, Viridiplantae, Streptophyta, Magnoliopsida, Brassicales, Brassicaceae. The record is from RefSeq and is a predicted model, not a curated record. The transcript is spliced from 6 exons.
GGUGGAGUAGUAAGUUCAAGCUUUUGGGCUGCUUUCUGGUUGCAUCUUGAGGCGUCAGUUUCCCUGAUCAGUCAGAAGCAGGUUGAUCCUCUCAAGACUCAAGAGCUAUGAAGAUGACUCAGCAGGCAGUUCUUAGCUCAGUAACAUAUGAUUAAAGCAAUAAAAAAAUAUUAAAUGGGGCGAGUUAGCUAAAGAUUGGUCUGUCAUUAAGGAUUUUAAAGACUCAAUCCUUAGCGGCGUGGCGCGCUGUGAUUGGUCCGAGAGAUCACAUGUUUGAGAAGUUAAAAAAAUUGAUCUCAUUUGUCCCGAAGGCGAAAAAAAAAGAAACUUGUCUCGACUCCAAGGUGACUGAAACGGCGAAAUCGCGAUUGUGAAAACCCGAGGUUAACAUGGGACAGGAUUACAGUUACAGUCAGCCUUCUUCAUCAGAGUACGACAUCACCUCUCUUCUUGAAGAAGAAGCUGCACUCUACGCUGAUGAAGCAGCUGCACUCUACGCUGAUGAAGCUGAGAGUAGCUACAUGAUCGGAGAGCCGGCUGAGUACCCACCUCGAGUUGAGGCUGUUACACAACUCAGCAGACACAACUCAACAGACCUUAUGGCUAUGGAGGAGAUGAGUGAUGACUUGCGGACACAACUCAGCCAGCUUAAGGAUCAAGGUAUUAAGAGUGAGCAGAAGCUGGUUAAGCUAGAGAAGACAGUGGUGGUUUGUCUCCUGGUUUGUGUAUUACUGUUAAUGGGUUUGGUGUUCAUCUAUCUGCGUGGAAGAGCUUCAAAGGGUACGUACAAGCUGAAGUCUUACGCGGCAAUCUGAAGUCCCGACUGUUUGUAAUAAAAGGUUCUACAGUAGGCAUGUGAACCAAGUCACGGGUGCUUUGGAGAUGGGAAAGUCUUUUGGUCUUUGGAGCAUGUGAACCAAGACAGUCACGGGAUGUUCUGUUCACUUAUGUAGUAUAAGUAGUUGUAGUUGUAUCCUCUUGUUUCCUACAUCGAAACUCUUAACCUAUCUUGUUUUUUCUCCUAUCAUCUCGGAGAGGUUGUAGUGUAAGACUGAAGCACUCUUUUUAAUCAAGUAUCGGAGAGGUUGUAGUGUAAUAUUUUUAAGACUGAAGCACUCUGUCAUCUCUUAACCACAAGUAUCAUCUC